GCCAGGCAUUGUGGCCCAUGCCUGUAAUCCUAGCUACUUGGGAGGCUGAGACAGGAGGUUCACAGAGUUGAAGUCCUGGACAAUUUUGUGAGAUCCUGUCUAAA
This 104-nucleotide small RNA is filed under the name Marmota monax (woodchuck). The record is from RNAcentral. Lineage: Eukaryota; Metazoa; Chordata; Mammalia; Rodentia; Sciuridae.